UGAUCUGUAGCCCAAUUUUGACAUGCUUUAUAACCAUGUGAAGCAGCUCCUCUCCAAUGAGCUACUCCUGACACAAAUGGAGAAAUGUGCCCUCAUGGAAGCCCUGGUUCUCAUUAGCAACCAAUUUAAGAACUACGAGCGUCAGAAGGUGUUCCUAGAGGAGCUGAUGGCACCAGUGGCCAGCAUCUGGCUUUCUCAAGACAUGCACAGAGUGCUGUCAGAUGUUGAUGCU
Molecule: small RNA, 232 nt
Filed under: Pongo abelii (Sumatran orangutan)
Lineage: Eukaryota; Metazoa; Chordata; Mammalia; Primates; Hominidae
Description: retained intron
Source: RNAcentral